CGGGUGAGUGACGCGUGGAUAACCUGCCUCACACUGGGGGAUAACAGUUAGAAAUGGCUGCUAAUACCGCAUAAGCGCACAGUACCGCAUGGUACGGUGUGAAAAACCCAGGUGGUGUGAGAUGGAUCCGCGUCUGAUUAGCCAGUUGGCGGGGUAACGGCCCACCAAAGCGACGAUCAGUAGCCGACCUGAGAGGGUGACCGGCCACAUUGGGACUGAGACACGGCCCAA
Molecule: ribosomal RNA, 231 nt
Filed under: uncultured bacterium
Lineage: Bacteria
Description: partial 16S ribosomal RNA
Rfam family: Bacterial small subunit ribosomal RNA
Source: RNAcentral